GGGAAGGGAGGUGGUGGCGACUGACGGAACUGGGUGAAGGCAGCAGUCUGUCAACAACUAUGGCAUCCAGCUGGUCAGAAAGACUAGAGGAUUUGACAUUUUGCGGCUGUUCUCUAGAACCAAAGAAAUGAGAACCUCUUGGUAAAAUCCGCUGGUCCAGGAGUUAUUAUCUCCUGGAUUAUCUGCCAAAGAAAUUAUCUGCCAAAAUUACAAUGUAAAACUGAAGAAGACAACCGAUAACUCAGUUAAAAUUUUGGAAAAAUACAAAGAAACUGUGACUGGGGAGAAAUGGAUUCUUUCUUUGAUUUUAUAAGCUGACAUGAUUGCUUGUUCUGUUGUGAAUGCACGCUGCUCUGGGCCUCAGUUAACCCAUCACACCUGAGCUCCACGCUGUCCACGGGUGCUUUUUCUGCAGUGUUAACGUCAUCUUCAUGGUCGGUAUCAUCACGAUCACCUUGAUUCAGAACCAUUCUGGCUAUUUCCCCAACAGUCAAUGAAAUGAACAACCGGAGCCUCAUUAUCAAUGUUAAAAAUGACAUUAAUGUGUACUUCUUCCCGCUGACUGAUGAACUCUGAAGGUAUAUUUUUUGGAGGUCAGACAUCCUUUUCUUCUCACUUGACAAGCUGAAUUCUUCUAAACCACCACCUGGUUCAUCAUCAUCACUGAACACAGUCGUAGGCCAGAGGUCACGCCAGGCACGCACAUCUGUGUCUUUAGUCACUGUGUUGCAAGCGUUGGCAACAGCAUGUAUGGCAUCCUUCAUGCUCAGCUCCUGAAAAUCUUCUACACCUACACCUCCGUUCACUGCUGCGAGCGUGCAAUUCAAGACAGUGUUUUUAUAUUUACUUUUCAUUGAUCUAAAGAUACC
Molecule: long non-coding RNA, 869 nt
Filed under: Homo sapiens (human)
Lineage: Eukaryota; Metazoa; Chordata; Mammalia; Primates; Hominidae
Description: MCPH1 antisense RNA 1 (ENSG00000285400.2)
Source: RNAcentral